AUGGUGUUUCCAAGCAAAACUGUGUUGCUGGUGUGGAUGCCAGGCAAUAAACACACAAUUUCUGCUACCUGGAAAUUUCUCAUAGGCUGCCACACUCAUCUAGGGGCUGCGUCUACUAAUGUAAGUAUUGACCACUUAUGGGGUUUUAGUGAAAUAGUAACCUCUGAAAAGUUUCCCCACUUCCUGAAAAAUCCAUGUACAUUUAUCAUUUUGAUAUAUGUAUAUAUAUAGAAAGGUUAUCAGGGCCAGGUGGAUCGCUUGAGCCCAGGAAUUUGAGACCAGCCUGGGUAACAUGGCAAAACUCCGUCUCUACAAAAAAACACAAAAAAAUUAGCCGGGUGUGGUGGUGGCGUGCCUGUAGUCCCAGCUACUCGGGAGGUGAGGUGGGAGGAUUGAUUGAGUGAGCCAUGGUCACACCACUGCACUUCAGCCUAGGAGACAGAGUGAGACCCUGUCUCAAAAAAAAAAAAAAAAAAGAAAAGAAAAGGAAAAGGAAAAAGAGAAAAGUUAUCAGAAAGUAGAGAAAACUUUUGAAAGAGCGCUUGGAUAAGAUGGAAGUCAGCUGCUAUCAGAGGCUAAUAUCCUAACUGGACUUCCAUUGGCAAAUAUCCUGUUUUUUUCCCAGUGGGCAGUAGAAUGUAUAUUUCUUGGCUUUGCAAGAAUACAAAAAUAUCCCAUUCAUUAACUUAGGUUUCAUGCUUCAAAUAAACAAUUGCCCUGAUUUCUAAGAUAAGAUACAGUUAGCUAUGAAUGCAUAUAGGCAGAAUCUGGUGCAUAUGUUUAUCUCAAAUCCAGGGCUGUUUUUAUGUUUUACAGACCAUGCCCUGCAAGUCUAAGUGUUCUCGGGUAAAGUUGUCAAGGCAGGAGGCUGAGUGAGGACACACCAGCUUUACCUGCCUUGGGGCACUCCUGGGAUUGAUUGGUUUCCCCAGAGCCAUAAAAUUUUUUAUUAUUCUUCUGCGUGUAUCAGGCCAUGGAACUGUGUGGCCUUCUGGGAUUUCUGCUGCUUGUAAAAUGGCACAACAUUUUUGUUGGCUGAAGUGCAGGGUGAGAAUUGCUCAUCAGCCUUGCAGAGCAACUGGAGACCUCUUUUAGGGUCAUUGGUUAACCUGCACCAGAGGGCAAUUAAUGAGUCAAUGAAGGAAAUGCUAACAUUAAAUUUAAAUGUGUGAAGAAGGAUUCCUCCAAGCAUCAGAUGAGCUAGAUGGGGUAGGAACAUUAAGAGUGAAAAUCUGGGAAAUAACCAAGUGCUUUGUUCUUUUCUACGGCAUGCAGAACUCAUUACUGUUGAUGGAAGCAAAAACAACAAGGCUGAGUGCCUUCAAUAGGUCAGAGGUUAGACACGCUCUGGCUCAACUUUACUGGCCAGUCUUCAUUAGGUGAGCAAAGAAGCCUCUAAAGAGAAGAAGUUUGUUUGCCCUACUAGAAGAGCAGUCAUUGCUUUUAUAAAUAAUCAAUACCACAUAUCUUUACAUAUAGUUUCAUCAUACUUAAAAUAUUUCAGCUUCUUCGUGGUAUAGAAGUUACAGAUGGAUUAAAACCAAAUGCUUAAAAUUCACCCCCCCAGAGAAUAUGGAAUUGGUCUUAGAAAAUGGUAGUCUUUAAGAUGAGAGGUAAGUCAGGUACUAGAUAUCUCUUAAUGGAAAGUCCUACUGAAUUCUUCUGAUCUAAAUGAGUAUAAUUGAGCCAGUUGGAGUAGCAAAAAUAAUUUCAGGUGGUAUAAUGCAGCAAUUAUAAAGCAGGCCUUGGAACUGGCAGACCAGGUGCCAAAUCCCUACUAAUUUCAGUGUUAUUUGACAGAGUAGAAUUACAG
This is a long non-coding RNA of Macaca fascicularis (crab-eating macaque), 1813 nucleotides long. The record is from Ensembl. NCBI's taxonomy places the organism in Eukaryota, Metazoa, Chordata, Mammalia, Primates, Cercopithecidae.